UGACCUCUCUUUGCCUCCUGGAGCCUCUA
This 29-nucleotide non-coding RNA is filed under the name Mus musculus (house mouse). The record is from RNAcentral. Lineage: Eukaryota; Metazoa; Chordata; Mammalia; Rodentia; Muridae.